GCAGGCCUAACACAUGCAAGUCGAGCGGUAACAUUUCUAGCUUGCUAGAAGAUGACGAGCGGCGGACGGGUGAGUAAUGCUUGGGAACAUGCCUUUAGGUGGGGGACAACCAUUGGAAACGAUGGCUAAUACCGCAUAAUGUCUACGGACCAAAGGGGGCUUCGGCUCUCGCCUUUAGAUUGGCCCAAGUGGGAUUAGGUAGUUGGUGAGGUAAUGGCUCACCAAGCCGACGAUCCCUAGCUGGUUUGAGAGGAUGAUCAGCCACACUGGAACUGAGACACGGUCCAGACUCCUACGGGAGGCAGCAGUGGGGAAUAUUGCACAAUGGGCGCAAGCCUGAUGCAGCCAUGCCGCGUGUGUGAAGAAGGCCUUCGGGUUGUAAAGCACUUUCAGUUGUGAGGAAAGGUUAGUAGUUAAUACCUGCUAGCUGUGACGUUAGCAACAGAAGAAGCACCGGCUAAUUCCGUGCCAGCAGCCGCGGUAAUACGGAGGGUGCGAGCGUUAAUCGGAAUUUACUGGGCGUAAAAGCGUACGCAGGGCGGUUUGUUAAGCGAAGAUGUGAAAAGCCCCCGGGGCUCAACCCUGGGAAACUGCAUUUUCGAACUUGGCAAAACUAGAAGUGUGAUAGAGGGGUGGUUAGAAUUUUCAGGGUGUAGGCGGUGAAAAUGGCGUAGAAGAUUCUGAAAGGAAAUACCCGAUGGGCGAAGGGCAGCCCACCCUGGGGUCAAACACCUGACGACUCCAUGUACCGAAAGCCGUGGGGGAAGCAAAACGGGGAUUUAGGAUACCCCGGUAGGGUCCCACCGCCCGUAAAACGAUUGUUCUUACCUAGGGAGGUUCGGUUUUUUUCGGAACCUUGUCUUUCCAAAAAGGCUAAACGGCAUUUAAGUUAGACCCGGCCCUGGAGGAAGUAACGGGCCGGCAAGGUUUAAAACUUUCAAAAUGAAAUUUGAACCGGGGGGCCCGGCCACCAAGCGGGUUGGGAGCAUGGUUGGGUUUAAUUUUCCGAUGCAACCCGCGAAGGAAACCCUUACCUACACUUUUGACAUUCCAAAGAGAACUUUUACCUAGGAGAUUUAGGUUUGGGUUGCCCUUUCGGGGAAAACUCUGAGGGACCAGGGUGGCUGCCA
RNAcentral lists this ribosomal RNA (1130 nucleotides) under Pseudoalteromonas sp. CSMCRI-1102. RNAcentral's name for it is "bacterial SSU rRNA". The stretch from base 1 to 808 matches the Rfam family "Bacterial small subunit ribosomal RNA", at positions 42 to 873 of the family's 1533-position model. The record is from RNAcentral. Lineage: Bacteria; Pseudomonadati; Pseudomonadota; Gammaproteobacteria; Alteromonadales; Pseudoalteromonadaceae.